UUAUCUCUUCCCUUCUCCUCUUCCUCUUCCUCUCCUAUCUACCACCUUCCUUCCAUACCCUAUUGUCGCACCACGUUGCUCCGACGAUCUCCUCGGCUGACAAGGAGCUUCCACGAGCUAUAUUUCUCUCUUUUUCUCUCUUUAUCUCUCAUAUUUCCCUUUUUACUCUCUCUCACCAUGGCUGCGACCUCCCCACUCCUCGACACCAACCGAUUGACCUCCGACGACCUCUCUCCAAU
This 239-nucleotide long non-coding RNA is filed under the name Ananas comosus (pineapple). RNAcentral's name for it is "long non-coding RNA (ACOM_LNC015765)". The record is from RNAcentral. Lineage: Eukaryota; Viridiplantae; Streptophyta; Magnoliopsida; Poales; Bromeliaceae.